RNAcentral lists this ribosomal RNA (387 nucleotides) under uncultured bacterium. Its description in RNAcentral is "bacterial SSU rRNA". It matches the Rfam family "Bacterial small subunit ribosomal RNA", at positions 28 to 417 of the family's 1533-position model. The record is from RNAcentral.
GAUGAACGCUGGCGGCAUGCUUUACACAUGCAAGUCGAACGGCAGCGGGGGCUUCGGCCCGCCGGCGAGUGGCGAACGGGUGAGUAAUGCAUCGGAACGUGCCCAGUCGUGGGGGAUAACACAUCGAAAGAUGUGCUAAUACCGCAUACGUCCUGAGGGAGAAAGCGGGGGAUCUUCGGACCUCGCGCGAUUGGAGCGGCCGAUGUCGGAUUAGCUAGUUGGUGGGGUAAAAGCCCACCAAGGCGACGAUCCGUAGCGGGUCUGAGAGGAUGAUCCGCCACACUGGGACUGAGACACGGCCCAGACUCCUACGGGAGGCAGCAGUGGGGAAUUUUGGACAAUGGGGGCAACCCUGAUGCAGCAACGCCGCGUGAGUGAUGACGGCCU